AUCAUUUGUCAUGCAUAGGCUGUGUGACAUUCUCCAAAGCUCUCCACCUCUCGGAACCUGCAUUAUUAUUUAUCACAGAGAUCUUGAUGUUUCAGAUGACUGUGAAGAUCAAAUGGACUCAGGUGCUGAGAGCUAAUGAAGCCAGCUGGGAGCUAACCUUAAUAUCUGAACUGAAUUUUUCAAAGGCUCAACUGAAAAGAAUUGGAAACAUCAGCCCAGAUGGAGGAAUCUGAAAAUCUUGUUUCCAGUGAUGUUGCACACUGGGGAAGGUCAGACAACAUUCUAGACAUAAAGAGGCUGUGUGCCUCACAUCCCACCAGCUAAGAAGGCUACUCCUAAACAAGAAAUGGAAAUUCUCCUUGUUCUACUUAUGGUGAAUAGGACUUGCCAGCAGAAAACACACAGACAACAAUGUCAGGCAGCUUGUGAGCCUGUGUCAAAAGACGCUGUCAGCUUCCAAUUCUAAGUCAAGAGUCUCAUUAAGUGAUUCUGCAGGUUAAUGAGAAACUAAAACCUUUUAAAAACAAAAACCACCUUUCACUGGUGAGGGCUUCAGUGUAACAGGUAAGAAAGCUCCAUGCUUCAUACAUAUGGGAGCUGUGUAGGAAAUAUGUGGUAUGUUUGGCAGGUGACACUUUCUGGUUUUGGUGAUAUGACAUUAACACAUGAAAUUGAAUUUGCCCAAAUUUGUACUAUUGUCAGAUGUACAGAUGUACAGAUAUAUAAGCAUAGUUUACAUUGUUUUUGUAUAAGAUGGCAAUAAACAUGUUUUAUUAUC
Long non-coding RNA from Mus musculus (house mouse), 778 nucleotides. RefSeq annotates it as predicted gene, 30313. The transcript has 3 exons. The record is from RefSeq and is a predicted model, not a curated record. NCBI's taxonomy places the organism in Eukaryota, Metazoa, Chordata, Mammalia, Rodentia, Muridae.